This 73-nucleotide transfer RNA is filed under the name Bacteroidetes bacterium CG12_big_fil_rev_8_21_14_0_65_60_17. RNAcentral describes it as "tRNA-Met". It matches the Rfam family "tRNA". Rfam says of the family: Transfer RNA (tRNA) molecules are approximately 80 nucleotides in length. Their secondary structure includes four short double-helical elements and three loops (D, anti-codon, and T loops). Lineage: Bacteria; Pseudomonadati; Bacteroidota. RNAcentral also lists the same sequence under 1 other name. The record is from RNAcentral.
GGGCCCGUAGCUCAGUGGUCAGAGCUGCCGACUCAUAAUCGGUAGGUCGCAGGUUCAAAUCCUGCCGGGCCCA